This 465-nucleotide ribosomal RNA is filed under the name Vreelandella stevensii. Its description in RNAcentral is "partial 16S ribosomal RNA". It matches the Rfam family "Bacterial small subunit ribosomal RNA", at positions 338 to 795 of the family's 1533-position model. The record is from RNAcentral. Lineage: Bacteria; Pseudomonadati; Pseudomonadota; Gammaproteobacteria; Oceanospirillales; Halomonadaceae.
CCUACGGGCGGCAGCAGUGGGGAAUAUUGGACAAUGGGGGGAACCCUGAUCCAGCCAUGCCGCGUGUGUGAAGAAGGCCCUCGGGUUGUAAAGCACUUUCAGUGAGGAAGAACGCCUGGUGGUUAAUACCCAUCAGGAAAGACAUCACUCACAGAAGAAGCACCGGCUAACUCCGUGCCAGCAGCCGCGGUAAUACGGAGGGUGCGAGCGUUAAUCGGAAUUACUGGGCGUAAAGCGCGCGUAGGUGGCUUGAUAAGCCGGUUGUGAAAGCCCCGGGCUCAACCUGGGAACGGCAUCCGGAACUGCCAAGCUAGAGUGCAGGAGAGGAAGGUAGAAUUCCCGGUGUAGCGGUGAAAUGCGUAGAGAUCGGGAGGAAUACCAGUGGCGAAGGCGGCCUUCUGGACUGACACUGACACUGAGGUGCGAAAGCGUGGGUAGCAAACAGGAUUAGAUACCCUAGUAGUC